GGGCGUAGUCAAACACGCGCAUCUGGAACGCCCGCAUUCUCUCCACUUCUCUUUCCCGCUUUGAUCUGUGAGGAUUCGCGUGUGGGCGAGAGACUGAAGUGAAAAAUCGGAUUGCGCACUGUGGCAAAGAAACCUCAGUUGAAGACAGGAGCCACGGGCCUGUUUAUCUAGAAACGGAGGGGGCACUGUCCUGGCAUGCCCCCCCCCCGGAGAAAGAAGCGUUGAGGGGACGGAAUGUCUCGUGACGUGAACGCUGAGGGCACGAGGGCGUACAUAUUUAUAACCGGUUACAUAUGGUUUCCCUGGUUACAAAGCCGAAGAAAAUCUCCCCACGUCAGCCGAACCCGAACAAUUAAUCUUGAGACGAGAUCGCAUUCGAUCGUUUGCUUUAGGCGGGAAGGCCUUUGAAAGCCGAAGAUUAAAGACUUUGCCAUCCGCCUGGAGCCGCAGUUGACAAAGAGGAUUGCCUUUGUGCACACACGGAACAGCUCGUCGAACAUGAACGAGUAUUUCUGCAACAAAACUGUUGUUUGGCGGGGGGGGGGGGGCGGGGGGGGGGUGGGGUUGUAGGGGCAGAACAGUCAGGCACCCCGGCCUGUUUAAAGUAUACCUUACACACUAAGAAACCCCCAAAGUUAUCACCUGUUCUUUAAACUGCAAUUCGUUUCGUUCUGUUUAUCAGGAGCAACUUGAGAGCAUCUUAGUCAACUAUUAAACACAGAAAAAGAGA
Molecule: long non-coding RNA, 730 nt
Organism: Anguilla rostrata (American eel)
Lineage: Eukaryota; Metazoa; Chordata; Actinopteri; Anguilliformes; Anguillidae
Exons: 2
Source: RefSeq, a predicted model, not a curated record